UCGUUGUCGUCGUUGCUCUCCUUCUCCGUCCAUGAAAUCACCUUGAAGCCUCGUUGGACGCCGUUAAAUUCCACUAGGCGAUCGUCGAAAAAUAUGGAAGGUACCGCAAGCUGGGACGUGAUCGAAUGGAGUAAAGUCGAUCCUAAUGAUAUACUAUUCUCUGUUUUCGUUGGAGGAUCAGCCAGCUUCUUGGUCAAGUUCUUUUUCAAGCCUGGAUUGCUUGCUGGAAUCUGAGAGUAUCACAUUCGAGGUGGAACGAAGACAUAAAGCUUGUGGAGUUGGACAUCAAGCUUGUGGAGCAAUCAAAUGUCAUUGAUGUGCCUGGUUUGUAUUAUAGAAACAUCCCUUCCCUUGCCUCAACUGUUAUUGAAGAGAUGUCGACUAAGAUGGAAGAAGUCAGAAAUGGGAUGGCUAAAGACGUUUUAUUUAGAUUUGGUUUGAAGGGUUACAAGAGUGACAAGAAGAUUCAAGAGCAACAAGAUCCAAGAGUAACAAGAUCAAAUAGAUAGCCUAAAAUCCUAGAUCUAGUCGCUCAGUGUGUUCAAUGGUCCAAAAGUCACCUUCUUGUUGCUUUCCUCUCCCUUUUUAUAGGACUCCUCCUGUCCCUGAUGCCCUAAUUUCGUACCUCUUUGGGCCUUGAUGCGAGAGGCCGAGAAUACGGGCCUGGACAAAGCUCCCUCCAAGCCAGGGACUCUUGGUCGGCUUACUCGACCGACUAAAAGUGCUCUAAGGUCGAGUCGAUAGAUUUAGCCGCCGAGCCGACCAAAUCGAUCCGACUUGCUGGAUUUGGACCUUUUAUUCGAUGGGCCUUGUGGAGGGGUGUAAUUUAUCUCCUACAAUAAUGAUGACUGCAGGCUAUACCUACUGAGGGUAACUCAGUUUUAUCCUUGUUUUAUCCUUAUAAAGUUGUUGCAGGGUUUUCGAAUUUGGAGGUUGAGUCUAAUCCAUGUUUUACUACCACCCGCAAGAACAUGAUCUAUGAGCUGUUGAUUCCUGCCAAUGUGGUGAAAGAAAAUGGGCUUACAUUUUGUGACCGCAUCAAGUACAUUGAUGGAGAAGGGAUCAUGGGGCUAAAGGCAAAUGGUCUGAUGAUAGGAUUUGCUUCAAGGGAUGGGACAGGAUUUGCAGAAGAAACAGGCUUAAAGAGGGUGAUACUGUCCACUGUGAGAUGCUUCAUAUCAGGAAGAAAGUUCACUCAAUCAAAAUCACAAUCACUCGUGGCUGAAUCCAUCAUCAUCAUUAGCAGUUCAUCACCACACCCUUCAUCCAUCACUCAUCAUCACCACUAUCAAAACAGUUAUCUAUGUCUUAGUAUGGCUUUUGUUUGUUUUAUGAGUGUUGCAGUUUUCUUCUCAGGUUUUUAUCUUAGUAGUACUUUCUUUAUCCCCAAGCAACCAUGAACUUAUUGAUGUUUAAUGUUUGUAUUUUAAAUGAGGUUCAAAUCA
This is a long non-coding RNA of Brassica oleracea var. oleracea, 1445 nucleotides long. RefSeq lists it as uncharacterized. The record is from RefSeq and is a predicted model, not a curated record. NCBI's taxonomy places the organism in Eukaryota, Viridiplantae, Streptophyta, Magnoliopsida, Brassicales, Brassicaceae. The transcript has 6 exons.